RNAcentral lists this microRNA (22 nucleotides) under Strongylocentrotus purpuratus (purple sea urchin). Its description in RNAcentral is "Spu-Mir-7_3p* (star (passenger))". Lineage: Eukaryota; Metazoa; Echinodermata; Echinoidea; Camarodonta; Strongylocentrotidae. The record is from RNAcentral.
AAAAAAUCACUGUCGGCCACUG